RNAcentral lists this ribosomal RNA (464 nucleotides) under uncultured Planctomyces sp. RNAcentral's name for it is "bacterial SSU rRNA". It matches the Rfam family "Bacterial small subunit ribosomal RNA", at positions 337 to 796 of the family's 1533-position model. The record is from RNAcentral. Lineage: Bacteria; Pseudomonadati; Planctomycetota; Planctomycetia; Planctomycetales; Planctomycetaceae.
GCCUACGGGUGGCUGCAGUCGAGAAUCUUCGGCAAUGGGCGCAAGCCUGACCGAGCGACGCCGCGUGCGGGAUGAAGGUCUUCGGAUUGUAAACCGCUGUCGGAGGGGAUGAAGUGUAUCGGGGUACUCCCCGGUAUUUGACAGAGCCUCGGAGGAAGCACGGGCUAAGUUCGUGCCAGCAGCCGCGGUAAUACGAACUGUGCGAACGUUAUUCGGAAUCACUGGGCUUAAAGGGUGCGUAGGCGGCGAUUCAAGUCAGGUGUGAAAUCCCCCGGCUCAACCGGGGAACUGCGCUUGAAACUGGAUUGCUCGAGUGAGGCAGGGGUGUAUGGAACUUCCGGUGGAGCGGUGAAAUGUGUAGAUAUCGGAAGGAACGCCGGCGGCGAAAGCGGUACACUGGGCCUUGUCUGACGCUGAGGCACGAAAGCUAGGGGAGUGAACGGGAUUAGAUACCCUGGUAGUCA